UGCCCAAGAGAUCGGGAUAACACCUGGAAACAGAUGCUAAUACCGGAUAACAACAGAUGAUGCCUAUCAACUGUUUAAAAGAUGGUUCUGCUAUCACUCUCGGAUGGACCUGCGGUGCAUUAGCUAGUUGGUAGGGUAACGGCCUACCAAGGCGAUGAUGCAUAGCCGAGUUGAGAGACUGAUCGGCCACAUUGGGACUGAGACACGGCCCAAACUCCUACGGGAGGCAGCAGUC
Molecule: ribosomal RNA, 235 nt
Filed under: uncultured Lactobacillus sp.
Lineage: Bacteria; Bacillati; Bacillota; Bacilli; Lactobacillales; Lactobacillaceae
Description: partial 16S ribosomal RNA
Rfam family: Bacterial small subunit ribosomal RNA
Source: RNAcentral